Molecule: ribosomal RNA, 484 nt
Filed under: uncultured bacterium
Lineage: Bacteria
Description: partial 16S ribosomal RNA
Rfam family: Bacterial small subunit ribosomal RNA
Source: RNAcentral
AUUGAACGCUGGCGGCAUGCUUUACACAUGCAAGUCGAACGGCAGCGCGGGCUUCGGCCUGGCGGCGAGUGGCGAACGGGUGAGUAAUGCAUCGGAACGUGCCCAGUAGUGGGUGAUAGCCCGGCGAAAGCCGGGUUACUACCGCCUACGACCUGAGGGUGCAAGCGGGGGACCGAAAGACCUCGCGCUCUUGGAGCGGCCGAUGUCGGAUUAGCUAGUUGGUGGGGUAAAGGCUUACCAAGGCGACGAUCCGUAGCUGGUCUGAGAGGACGACCAGCCACACUGGGACUGAGACACGGCCCAGACUCCUACGGGAGGCAGCAGUGGGGAAUUUUGGACAAUGGGGGCAACCCUGAUCCAGCCAUGCCGCGUGCGGGAAGAAGGCCUUCGGGUUGGAAACCGCGUUUGUUCGGGAAGAAAUCCUCUGGGCUAAUACCCCGGGGGGAUGACGGUACCGGAAGAAUAAGCACCGGCUAACUACGUG